Molecule: non-coding RNA, 756 nt
Organism: Zootermopsis nevadensis
Lineage: Eukaryota; Metazoa; Arthropoda; Insecta; Blattodea; Termopsidae
Source: RefSeq, a predicted model, not a curated record
UGUGGUACCGUUAGCUCAUUCCGUUACUCAGACAACGUGCUGUCUCUCAGGUAAACCCAAGAGAGUGAACUUGCACACGUGAGGUUCAACACUGUUCCACGGCCAUUCAUCAAAAAACAGUUCACAACCACGUAUAUAAUACCGUGGCAAAAGCAAUACUACUCAGCCAUUUCGAAAACCUAGUGACAAGAUUAAGAGCCACACAUUUUUCUAGUUCAAAGUGAUUUUAUGAAUGCGUUUAUCAACGACGUCUACUAACCUGCCGAAAACCUGGUCAAAAGAAGUGCGUGAUUAAAUACAAUAAAAAGUGCAGUGGAGACCGUUUGUUAGCAUUAAGACAAUUGAAGUGUCGUUAAGUCUGAAGAGAGCCUUAAAAUAACAUAAAUACGCAAGACAGGUUUACAAACACAGAAGAAUGAAAUUGGUUCCGUGAAGUGUAAGAAAAAGAGUAACAUAAAGGUCCACCCUGUUCGGUGGUUCUCCGAACAAUGGCGUACACAAAACAUAAAUACAUUGAAAAUUUGGCCGAGCAGCUGUUCUGCAGAUACUGAAACAUCGAGGAGCCUAUAUGUGAAGCCCACUACAUAACAGAGAUGUGGUGUCUCUCUGGCUAUCCGCCCGCAUCUUUUACCACUGAAAGGAUUUUGGAGAAAUUUGGGAUCUACAUUAAAAGCUGUCGGACGAAUUUAAUUUUUGCGCACGUCGGUUAGUUUAAACCUCGUAUUAGAGAAGUUACAGCUCAAAUUUUUAUCACAC